This 658-nucleotide long non-coding RNA is filed under the name Homo sapiens (human). Its description in RNAcentral is "non-protein coding MIR193BHG:23". Lineage: Eukaryota; Metazoa; Chordata; Mammalia; Primates; Hominidae. The record is from RNAcentral.
GUCGGCUGCGCGCUCUCUGCAGAAAAGGAUUUUCUACGCUCCCCGCCCAUCACUUGGAUCUCGUCUGGGGAGGGGCGGAUUUUUUUUCUGGAAGUACCCUUCUUCUCCACGGUGGAGGAUUUAAGGCUGGGCUCCAAUCGAGGCGGAGGCUGCAGGGCCCGCGGGGCGCCCCCCGCCCGGCGCACGCCUGCCCGGAGCCCGGGAAGGCGCAGCCCUGGGUGGGGGGGCCCGUGCACCCCCGGAGGCGGCAGCGGCGGUGAGUGCUCCCCUUCUUCCCGCCUGGCACCUUCCGCCAGCCAAGGCAGGGAUCGCGGCAGAUAAACCUGCCAGUAAUUUCAGCAAAUGAAACGUGGAACACGUCAAGGCCAGAGGAUGGAAAAGGCUCCAGUUUUGAUAAAAGGAGGCCUGCUUGGCUUGGAAUCCUCUCUCCUGCUGGUUGGGAGAUGCAAAGAUGUUUCCAGAGAGGGGCUGAUGAAUUGAGGGGAAAGAAAUGAGCCCAGUAUGAGUCCCCUUUCAGGGCUGAGCGUGUAUAAAACCAAACAACUUGGAACCGCUCCAAGAGAGGGGAUUAAAGCAACAUGUUAUUCUGAGUGAUUGCUUAAUUUAUUGAGCUGCGGCUGGAUCUGUAAUGAAAUACAGCCCUUGUAACUGAUAACCU